Molecule: non-coding RNA, 91 nt
Organism: Acanthosepion pharaonis
Lineage: Eukaryota; Metazoa; Mollusca; Cephalopoda; Sepiida; Sepiidae
Source: the annotation of a GenBank genome assembly
UAGACACAGGUUCUCGUAAGAUCACUUAAGUUAAGCAACGCCGAGCCUGGUCAGUACCUAGAUGGAUGAACAUUUGGGAAUACUAGGUGCU